UUUCCGUAGGUGAACCUGCGGAAGGAUCAUUCAUAAUAAGUGUUUUAUGGCACUUUUUUAAAUCCAUAUCCACCUUGUGUGCAAUGUCAGGGUUGAUUUUUCUCUCGAGAGGAUCAACCCCAAACAUCAACUAUAUCUCAACUCUUAGUCUGAAAAAUAUUAUGAAUAAAACAAUUCAAAAUACAACUUUCAACAACGGAUCUCUUGGCUCUC
Molecule: unclassified non-coding RNA, 213 nt
Filed under: plant metagenome
Description: partial contains small subunit ribosomal RNA, internal transcribed spacer 1, and 5.8S ribosomal RNA
Source: RNAcentral